Molecule: long non-coding RNA, 48 nt
Filed under: Pongo abelii (Sumatran orangutan)
Lineage: Eukaryota; Metazoa; Chordata; Mammalia; Primates; Hominidae
Description: lincRNA
Source: RNAcentral
GGCAAGAAUGUUUUCUAAGACCCCGAACUCCAGAUUUGCGAUGUGGCA